CGCGAAGAACCUUACCAAGGCUUGACAUAUACGAGAACGGGCCAGAAAUGGUCAACUCUUUGGGCACUCGUAAACAGGCGGUGCAUGGUUGUCGUCAGCUCGUGUCGUGAGAUGUUGGGUUAAGUCCCGCAACGAGCGCAACCCUCGUUCUAUGUUGCCAGCACGUAAUGGUGGGAACUCAUGGGAUACUGCCGGGGUCAACCCGGAGGAAGGUGGGGAUGACGUCAAAUCAUCAUGCCCCUUAUGUCUUGGGCUUCACGCAUGCUACAAUGGCCGGUACAAUGGGCUGCAAUACCGUGAGGUGGAGCGAAUCCCAAAAAGCCGGUCCCAGUUCGGAUUGAGGUCUGCAACUCGACCUCAUGAAGUCGGAGUCGCUAGUAAUCGCAGAUCAGCAACGCUGCGGUGAAUACGUUCCCGGGCCUUGUACACACCG
Molecule: ribosomal RNA, 433 nt
Filed under: uncultured bacterium
Lineage: Bacteria
Description: bacterial SSU rRNA
Rfam family: Bacterial small subunit ribosomal RNA
Source: RNAcentral